Molecule: ribosomal RNA, 390 nt
Filed under: uncultured Bacillus sp.
Lineage: Bacteria; Bacillati; Bacillota; Bacilli; Caryophanales; Bacillaceae
Description: bacterial SSU rRNA
Rfam family: Bacterial small subunit ribosomal RNA
Source: RNAcentral
UGACCGCGUAUGAAGUACGAAUUCACCUUCGGGUGACAGGGAGACAGGUGGUGCAUGGUUGUCGUCAGCUCGUGUCGUGAGAUGUUGGGUUAAGUCCGCAACGAGCGCAACCCCUACGUUUAGUUGCUAACGCGUGAAGGCGAGCACUCUAGACGAACUGCCGUUGACAAAACGGAGGAAGGUGGGAUGACGUCAAAUCAUCAUGCCCUUAUGUUCUGGGCUACACACGUGCUACAAUGGCCGGUACAGACGGACGCAAAGCCGCGAGGUGGAGCAAAUCCUAAAAAGCCGGUCUCAGUUCAGAUUGUAGGCUGCAACUCGCCUGCAUGAAGAUGGAGUUGCUAGUAAACGCAGGUCAGCUAUACUGCGUUGAAUACGUUCCCGGGGCUU